CCUACGGUGUGCAGUAGUGGGGAAUAUUGCACAAUGGGCGAAAGCCUGAUGCAGCAACGCCGCGUGAGCGAUGAAGGCCUUCGGGUCGUAAAGCUCUGUCCUCAAGGAAGAUAAUGACGGUACUUGCGUAGGACGCCCCGGCUACCUACGUGCCAGCAGCCGCGGUCCUACGUAGGGGGCUAGCGUUAUCCGGAAUUACUGGGCGUAACGGGUGCGUAGGUGGUUUCUUAAGUCAGGGGUGAAAGGCUACGGCUCAACCGUAGUAAGCCUUUGAAACUGGGGAACUUGAGUGCAGGAGAGGAGAGUGGAAUUCCUAGUGUAGCGGUGAAAUGCGUAGAUAUUAGGAGGAAAACCAGUUGCGAAGGCGGCUCUCUGGACUGUAACUGACACUGAGGCACGAAAGCGUGGGGAGCAAAAAGGAUUAGAUACCCUGUAGUC
Molecule: ribosomal RNA, 438 nt
Filed under: uncultured bacterium
Lineage: Bacteria
Description: partial 16S ribosomal RNA
Rfam family: Bacterial small subunit ribosomal RNA
Source: RNAcentral